Non-coding RNA from Immersiella caudata, 92 nucleotides. Lineage: Eukaryota; Fungi; Ascomycota; Sordariomycetes; Sordariales; Lasiosphaeriaceae. The record is from the annotation of a GenBank genome assembly.
UCUUCCGUAGCAUAGUGCUCGGUAUGUGAGUUUGUCAAUCCCUCUUGGGGAUGCCUUCGCUCGGGACCCGGGUUCAAUUCCCGGCGGGAGAA